CGCUGGCGGCGUGCCUAAUACAUGCAAGUCGAGCGAAUGACAAGGAGCUUGCUCCUUUGAUCUAGCGGCGGACGGGUGAGUAACACGUGGGUAACCUACCCUAUAGACUGGGAUAACUUCGGGAAACCGGAGCUAAUACCGGAUAAUACUUCGAAACACAUGUUUUGAAGUUGAAGGAUGGUUUCGGCUAUCACUAUAGGAUGGACCCGCGGCGCAUUAGCUAGUUGGUGAGGUAACGGCUCACCAAGGCAACGAUGCGUAGCCGACCUGAGAGGGUGAUCGGCCACACUGGGACUGAGACACGGCCCAGACUCCUACGGGAGGCAGCAGUAGGGAAUCUUCCACAAUGGACGAAAGUCUGAUGGAGCAACGCCGCGUGAAGUGAAGAAGGAUUUCGGUUCGUAAAACUCUGUUGCAAGGGAAGAACAAGUAGCGUAGUAACUGGCGCUACCUUGACGGUACCUUGUUAGAAAGCCACGGCUAACUACGUGCCAGCAGCUGC
This 502-nucleotide ribosomal RNA is filed under the name uncultured bacterium. Its description in RNAcentral is "bacterial SSU rRNA". It matches the Rfam family "Bacterial small subunit ribosomal RNA", at positions 34 to 518 of the family's 1533-position model. The record is from RNAcentral.